This 351-nucleotide ribosomal RNA is filed under the name uncultured bacterium. RNAcentral describes it as "bacterial SSU rRNA". It matches the Rfam family "Bacterial small subunit ribosomal RNA", at positions 8 to 349 of the family's 1533-position model. The record is from RNAcentral.
AGAGUUUGAUCAUGGCUCAGGACGAACGCUAGCUACAGGCUUAACACAUGCAAGUCGAGGGGAAACGACAUCGAAAGCUUGCUUUUGAUGGGCGUCGACCGGCGCACGGGUGAGUAACGCGUAUCCAACCUGCCCACCACUUGGGGAUAACCUUGCGAAAGUAAGACUAAUACCCAAUGACGUCUCUAGAAGACAUCUGAAAGAGAUUAAAGAUUUAUCGGUGAUGGAUGGGGAUGCGUCUGAUUAGCUUGUUGGCGGGGUAACGCCACAAGGCGACGAUCAGUAGGGGUUCUGAGAGGAACGGUCCCCCANAUUGGAACUGAGACACGGUCCAAACUCCGUACGGGAGCA